UACGGAGGGGGCUAGCGUUGUUCGGAAUUACUGGGCGUAAAGCGCAUGUAGGCGGCUUUGCAAGUCAGAGGUGAAAGCCCGGGGCUCAACCCCGGAAUAGCCUUUGAGACUGCAUCGCUAGAAUUGUGGAGAGGUAAGUGGAAUUCCGAGUGUAGAGGUGAAAUUCGUAGAUAUCGGGAGGAACACCGGUGGCGAAGGCGGCGACCUGGGUAGAUACUGACGCUGAGGCGCGAAAGCGUGGGGAGCGAACAGG
RNAcentral lists this ribosomal RNA (253 nucleotides) under uncultured bacterium. RNAcentral's name for it is "partial 16S ribosomal RNA". It matches the Rfam family "Bacterial small subunit ribosomal RNA", at positions 524 to 776 of the family's 1533-position model. The record is from RNAcentral.